RNAcentral lists this long non-coding RNA (601 nucleotides) under Equus asinus (donkey). Its description in RNAcentral is "lncRNA (ENSEASG00005036496.1)". The record is from RNAcentral. Lineage: Eukaryota; Metazoa; Chordata; Mammalia; Perissodactyla; Equidae.
CCGGCCUUGGAGAAGAAGGGGGCCUGGCCCCAGGUGCUGAGGGAUGGGAAAGGAGUGACCUUUCAAUGUAGGAAACUUGGAGGCAAAGGUUCGUGAGCAUCCGCUGACACUUGGUAGGGCUCAUGGAGCUCACAGUCUGGAGGGUAAGACAGACUCAGCAAACAGCACCCCAGGUGACCUUGGAGGCCUCAUUGCAAGUGGUGCAACAUCUUCAGUGAUGCUUUGGAGGAAAACGACGUCAUGCAAAUUACUACACAAAUCACUAUUGUUAGUUGGGGUUGGCUCUAAAAAGGAAAAGGUUAAGGUGCCUUGAACACUUUGCCUGGUGAUCCAGGUGAAGGUAAGAGCAUGGACAAGGGCCCUGAAGCAGGAAGGAGGAACCCAAAGCAAACCAGCAUGACUGGAGGUAAUGAGCAAGGUAGAGUGGCGUGAGAGGAAGGAGCAUGAUCUUGAUGCAAGAUGCAUGGGUUUGUGGCAGGAAUUUGAUGGAUAGGGACUGGACACUGCCUUGGCACCCUCCCCCCUCUCCCUAGGGGCAGAGCAUCAAUUUAAGAAACCAGAUUGUAACCAGGAGGGGGUGAACCUAGAAACUCAGAAUUUG